This 705-nucleotide ribosomal RNA is filed under the name bacterium enrichment culture. Its description in RNAcentral is "bacterial SSU rRNA". It matches the Rfam family "Bacterial small subunit ribosomal RNA", at positions 316 to 1039 of the family's 1533-position model. The record is from RNAcentral.
GGACUGAGACCGGACCAGGUUCCUAAGGAAGGCAGAAGUAGGAAUUUUCACAAUGGCGAAGCUUGAUGGAAGCAACGCCGCGUGCAGGAUGAUGCCUCGAGUUGUAAACUGCUUUUAUUAUGUGACGAAUAUGACGGUAGCAUAUGAAUAAGGAUCGGCUAACUCCGUGCCAGCAGCCGCGGUCAUACGGAGGAUCAAGCGUUAUCCGGAAUUACUGGGCGUAAAAGAAGUUGCGUAGGCGGCAUAGUAAGCAGAUAGUGAAAGCGUGGUGGCUCAACCAUACUCACAUUAUCUGAACUGCUAAGCUAGAGGACGAGAGAGGUCACUGGAAUUCCUAGUGUAGGAGUGAAAUCCGUAGAUAUUAGGAGGAACACCAAUGGCGUAGGCAGGUGACUGGCUCGUUCCUGACGCUCAGGCACGAAAGCGUGGGGAGCAAACGGGAUUAGAUACCCCGGUAGUCCACGCCGUAAACGAUGGAUGCUAGCUGUUAGAGGUAUCGACCCCUCUAGUAGCGAAGCUAACGCGUUAAGCAUCCCGCCUGUGGAGUACGGUCGCAAGACUAAAACAUAAAGGAAUUGACGGGGACCCGCACAAGCGGUGGAGCGUGUUGUUUAAUUCGAUGGUAAGCGAAGAACCUUACCCAGGCUUGACAUCCUUGGAAGCACUGCGAAAGCAGCGUGUGCCUUCGGGAACCAAGUGACAGGU